UAGGAAGUAGGAAUCCUUUUAAAUUAUUUCGACUUUUUUUUUUUUACAGGUGAGAUCUGUUAACCUUAUCCACAUUCCCCGAUACACUGAAAAGCCGAGGAGCGGGUGAGGCCAUACAGUGGAGUGGGUGAGCACCAGGGCUCUCAAGGUCGGGUUCAUCUCUCCUACACUCUGGAUGUGACCUAGGACAAGUCACUUAACUGAUCUGUGCCUGAUUCCUCGUCUGUCAGAUGAACAGUAGCCCCUGCCUCAUAAGAGAGGUAGUAAGAUCAGGUGAAUGAAUACCCUUGAAAAUUUUUGCUUAGUGAUUGAUUAUUAGCCUUUAUUAGUUA
RNAcentral lists this long non-coding RNA (332 nucleotides) under Felis catus (domestic cat). RNAcentral describes it as "lncRNA (ENSFCAG00000047137.1)". The record is from RNAcentral. Lineage: Eukaryota; Metazoa; Chordata; Mammalia; Carnivora; Felidae.